This 468-nucleotide ribosomal RNA is filed under the name uncultured bacterium. Its description in RNAcentral is "partial 16S ribosomal RNA". It matches the Rfam family "Bacterial small subunit ribosomal RNA", at positions 28 to 507 of the family's 1533-position model. The record is from RNAcentral.
GACGAACGCUGGCGGCGUGCUUAACACAUGCAAGUCGAACGGACAGGCCCUGCUCUUGUGGGGUGCUCGAGUGGCGAACGGGUGAGUAACACGUGAGUAACCUGUACUUGACUUUGGGAUAACUUCAGGAAACUGGGGCUCAUACCGGAUAGGAGCUCCUGCUGCACGGUGGGGGUUGGAAAGUUUCGGCUGUUGGGGCUGGACUAGCGGCUUAUCAGCUUGUUGAUGGGGUAGUGGCUUACCAAGGCUUUGACGGGUAGCCGGCCUGAGAGGGUUACCGGCCACAUUGGGACUGAGAUACGGCCCAGACUCCUACGGGACGCAGCAGUGGGGAAUAUUGCACAAUGGGCGGAAGCCUGAUGCAGCAACGCCGCGUGCGGGAUGACGUCCUUCGGGUUGUAAACCGCUUUCGCCGGUGACGAAGCGUGAGUGACGGUAAUGGGUAAGGAAGCACCGGCUAACUACGUG